This 453-nucleotide ribosomal RNA is filed under the name uncultured bacterium. Its description in RNAcentral is "bacterial SSU rRNA". It matches the Rfam family "Bacterial small subunit ribosomal RNA", at positions 340 to 786 of the family's 1533-position model. The record is from RNAcentral.
UACGGGAGGCAGCAGUGGGGAAUAUUGCACAAUGGGCGCAAGCCUGAUGCAGCCAUGCCGCGUGUAUGAAGAAGGCCUUCGGGUUGUAAAGUACUUUCAGUCGUGAGGAAGGUGUUAAGGUUAAUAACCUUAGCAAUUGACGUUAGCGACAGAAGAAGCACCGGCUAACUCCGUGCCAGCAGCCGCGGUAAUACGGAGGGUGCGAGCGUUAAUCGGAAUUACUGGGCGUAAAGGGCACGCAGGCGGUUAAUUAAGUUGGAUGUGAAAUCCCCGGGCUUAACCUGGGAAUGGCAUUCAAGACUGGUUAGCUAGAGUCUUGUAGAGGGGGUAGAAUUCCAUGUGUAGCGGUGAAAUGCGUAGAGAUGUGGAGGAAUACCGGUGGCGAAAGGCGGCCCCUGGGACAAAGACUGACGCUCAUGUGCGAAAGCUGGGGAGCAAACAGGAUUAGAUACC